Molecule: ribosomal RNA, 450 nt
Filed under: uncultured bacterium
Lineage: Bacteria
Description: bacterial SSU rRNA
Rfam family: Bacterial small subunit ribosomal RNA
Source: RNAcentral
GUGGGGAAUUUUGGACAAUGGGCGCAAGCCUGAUCCAGCAAUGCCGCGUGCAGGAAGAAGGCCUUCGGGUUGUAAACUGCUUUUGUACGGAACGAAACGGUCCGGGUUAAUACCCUGGGCUAAUGACGGUACCGUAAGAAUAAGCACCGGCUAACUACGUGCCAGCAGCCGCGGUAAUACGUAGGGUGCAAGCGUUAAUCGGAAUUACUGGGCGUAAAGCGUGCGCAGGCGGUUUUGUAAGACAGGCGUGAAAUCCCCGGGCUCAACCUGGGAAUUGCGGUUGUGACUGCAAGGCUGGAGUGCGGCAGAGGGGGAUGGAAUUCCGCGUGUAGCAGUGAAAUGCGUAGAUAUGCGGAGGAACACCGAUGGCGAAGGCAAUCCCCUGGGCCUGCACUGACGCUCAUGCACGAAAGCGUGGGGAGCAAACAGGAUUAGAAACCCUUGUAGUCC